RNAcentral lists this long non-coding RNA (1470 nucleotides) under Homo sapiens (human). Its description in RNAcentral is "non-protein coding lnc-CDK2AP1-1:12". Lineage: Eukaryota; Metazoa; Chordata; Mammalia; Primates; Hominidae. The record is from RNAcentral.
AUUUUGUUUUGAACGCAUAUUGACAGCACGCUUUACUUAGUAGCCGGUUCCCAUUUGCCAUACAAUGUAGGUUCUGCUUAAUGUAACUUCUUUUUUGCUUAAGCAUUUGCAUGACUAUUAGUGCUUCAAAGUCAAUUUUUAAAAAUGCACAAGUUAUAAAUACAGAAGAAAGAGCAACCCACCAAACCUAACAAGGACCCCCGAACACUUUCAUACUAAGACUGUAAGUAGAUCUCAGUUCUGCGUUUAUUGUAAGUUGAUAAAAACAUCUGGAAGAAAAUGACUAAAACUGUUUGCAUCUUUGUAUGUAUUUAUUACUUGAUGUAAUAAAGCUUAUUUUCAUUAACAAUUUGUAUUAAAAUGUGGGUUCCUUGAAUUCUUACGUGCUGUUUUAUUUUUUUGAGACAGGGUCUUGUUUUGCCACCCAGGCUGGAGUGCAGUAAUAUAAUCUUGGCUCACCGCAGCCUCAACCUCCUGGGCUCAAGCAAUCCUCCCAUCUCAGCCUCCCUAGUGGCUGGAACUACAGGUGUGUGCCACUAUGCCUGAAUAAUUUUUAAAAGACUUUUUGUAUUGAAUGAAUGGGUGUGUGAUGGAAAAAAAAUUUUUUUUGCAGAGAUGAGGUCUCACUAUGUUGCCUAGGCUGGAUCCUGGGCUCAAGUGAUCCUUCCACCUUAGCCUCUCAAAGUACUGGGAUUAUAGGUGUGAGCUACCACGCCUGGUGUAAAGAAGUGCUAUUUUAAAUAAUCUCUCAUGAAAGUGUUUGAAAUGCUUGUUCCCCGGUGCCGUGAAGAAAUAGCACUUGAACAUAAAUUUAAUUUACUCAGCAAGGCCAUUUUUACUUCCCGCAGAAAGGGUACAUUCGCCAGCAGUUUUGCCACGAGAGUACACCGAACAAAGAGACAGGGUCAUUUGUAACCUGAUGCGUCCACCCUACUGCUGUGUCCGGUUUCCAUUGGCUGGAACGGGACCUCAUAUUCUGUAUUUGUCCUGAUUGGGAAGCAACUUAAAACUUUUUAAAAGAGGCGAAGGCAGAAGAGAACAAAGGAAGGAGAAAGUAACUUGUGGAAUGGUGAGAAAGGCAUGAGGCGAAUUCUCAGCCAUGACAAGGCUGAAGGCCAGCAGGAACAGGCUCUAGCGAAAUGGGUGCUGUGUCCCCUUCCUGCAUGUGGCAGAAAGUUGCAAAGGACUCUCUCGUGAUCCCUGAGGCAGAUGGACUGGGAGCCCCUCUGACCAACCUUCUUUUUUUUUUUUUUAAGAGGGAAUCUUGUCUGUUGCCCAGGCUGGUAUGCAGUAGCAUGAUCUCGGCUCACUGCAAUGUCUGCCUCCAGGGUUCAAGCGAUUCUCCUGCCUUAGCCUCCGAGUAACUGGGAUUACAGGCACGCGCCACCACACCCGGCUAAUUUUUGUAUUUUCAGUAGAGAUGGGGUUUUGCCAUGUUGACCAGACUGGUCUCGAACUCCUGACCUCAGG